Octopus sinensis (East Asian common octopus) is the source of this 637-nucleotide long non-coding RNA. RefSeq lists it as uncharacterized. The transcript is spliced from 3 exons. The record is from RefSeq and is a predicted model, not a curated record. Lineage: Eukaryota; Metazoa; Mollusca; Cephalopoda; Octopoda; Octopodidae.
UAUAAAGAGAGGUGAACACACCCUGGCGCAGCUUUCAUAGACAUCCACUGCUGUAUCUGACGAAACAUUCCGUCUGGAAGAGAACCAAAGUUUCCAGUCGCCAGAGUAACUUUCCCUUUGCCAACCAUUAUAAGGUGAAGUUUUGAAUAUGUUUCUAGUUGCACGCCUUGCUCUUCAAGUAGCUGCACGUGCAGUAGUACGCUAUGCUCCAAGGAUAGUCGCUUCGCACUUGGGGCUCAUGGCAAUCGAAUACGCGGUUGAAAGAAAAGACGAAGAGGAAAGUGAAGAUGAAUGCAGUGAGGAUAGCAGAAAGAAGAAAGGAAAGAAAGAAAAAAAAAGAAAAGAAACCAAAAUCUUAAUUUAGGAUGAGGAAUCGAGAGAAAGCUUCGAGCUUUGCCUCACUGUAUUUGUUUUCAUUCUCUUCAAGCACACACACACACACACACACACACAUGCACACACACACACAUGCAACACAACACACAUGCACACACACACACAUGCACACACACACACACACACAAACAUACGCAAACACACACACACAGACUUAUUCAGACAUUAUCACAUCGAGCUACACACAUACAGCUUUUUUUUCUUUUUUUUACCUAACCACAGUCUCAAGAACAAAUUAAAU